CAGCACCUCAAGUGGUCAGGAUGAUUAUUGGGCCUAAAGCAUCCGUAGCCGGCUCUGUAAGGUUUCGGUUAAAUCUGUACGCUCAACGUACAGGCUGCCGGGAAUACUGCAGAGCUAGGGAGUGGGAGAGGUAGACGGUACUCGGUAGGAAGGGGUAAAAUCCUUUGAUCUAUUGAUGACCACCUGUGGCGAAGGCGGUCUACCAGAACACGUCCGACGGUGAGGGAUGAAAGCUGGGGGAGCAAACCGGAUUAGAUACCCGAGUAGUCC
RNAcentral lists this ribosomal RNA (270 nucleotides) under uncultured archaeon. RNAcentral describes it as "partial 16S ribosomal RNA". It matches the Rfam family "Archaeal small subunit ribosomal RNA", at positions 477 to 747 of the family's 1478-position model. The record is from RNAcentral.